Molecule: ribosomal RNA, 253 nt
Filed under: uncultured bacterium
Lineage: Bacteria
Description: partial 16S ribosomal RNA
Rfam family: Bacterial small subunit ribosomal RNA
Source: RNAcentral
UACGUAGGCAGCGAGCGUUGUUCGGAGUUACUGGGCGUAAAGGGUGUGUAGGCGGUUGCUUAAGUUUGGUGUGAAAUCUCCCGGCUCAACUGGGAGGGUGCGCCGAAUACUGAGUGACUCGAGUGCGGGAGAGGAGAGUGGAAUUCCUGGUGUAGCGGUGAAAUGCGUAGAUAUCAGGAGGAACACCGGUGGUGUAGACGGCUCUCUGGACCGUAACUGACGCUGAGACACGAAAGCGUGGGGAGCAAACAGG